AACGCAUAUUGCACUCUCUUUUGGAGAGUAUGCCUGUUUGGGAAUAUAUUGUUUUCAUUUUUCUAUCUGAUUUUUGUUUAUAUAGAAAGGCGUUGCGAUUACUAUAAAAUGAUUUUUAUAGUUUGAUAAAAUCGAUUUCAAUGGCCUAGUAUUUUACACCAAACCAUAGUUUAAAACUAUUUGAAUGAAACUUUUAAAGAGUUUCUAGUUUCAUAGUGAUUUCUAUGGGAAAUACAAUUUAGAAUUUUUGAAUAAAAAAACCAUAAAAGAAAACAGUAUAUUUAUAUAUGAAUUCUUUGACCCAUGGUCUCAAAUCAGGUAGGAAGACCCGCUGAACUUAA
Molecule: unclassified non-coding RNA, 341 nt
Filed under: uncultured fungus
Lineage: Eukaryota; Fungi
Description: partial contains ITS1, 5.8S rRNA and ITS2
Source: RNAcentral